This 479-nucleotide ribosomal RNA is filed under the name uncultured bacterium. RNAcentral describes it as "partial 16S ribosomal RNA". It matches the Rfam family "Bacterial small subunit ribosomal RNA", at positions 28 to 507 of the family's 1533-position model. The record is from RNAcentral.
GAUGAACGCUGGCGGCGUGCUUAACACAUGCAAGUCGAACGAAGCACCUUGAUUUGAUUCUUCGGAUGAAGAUCUUGGUGACUGAGUGGCGGACGGGUGAGUAACGCGUGGGUAACCUGCCUCAUACAGGGGGAUAACAGUUAGAAAUGACUGCUAAUACCGCAUAAGACCACAGCACCGCAUGGUGCAGGGGUAAAAACUCCGGUGGUAUGAGAUGGACCCGCGUCUGAUUAGGUAGUUGGUGGGGUAACGGCCUACCAAGCCGACGAUCAGUAGCCGACCUGAGAGGGUGACCGGCCACAUUGGGACUGAGACACGGCCCAAACUCCUACGGGAGGCAGCAGUGGGGAAUAUUGCACAGUGGGGGAAACCCUGAUGCAGCGACGCCGCGUGAGCGAUGAAGUAUUUCGGUAUGUAAAGCUCUAUCAGCAGGGAAGAAAAUGACGGUACCUGACUAAGAAGCACCGGCUAAAUACGUG